UUUAGUGAUGAUGGCAAAGAGGUCACACCCGUUCCCAUGCCGAACACGGAAGUUAAGCUCUUUAGCGCCGAUGGUAGUUGGGGGUUUCCCCCUGUGAGAGUAGGACGUCGCUAAGC
This 116-nucleotide ribosomal RNA is filed under the name Kurthia sibirica. Lineage: Bacteria; Bacillati; Bacillota; Bacilli; Caryophanales; Caryophanaceae. The record is from RNAcentral.